Molecule: unclassified non-coding RNA, 328 nt
Filed under: soil metagenome
Description: partial contains 5.8S ribosomal RNA, internal transcribed spacer 2, and large subunit ribosomal RNA
Rfam family: 5.8S ribosomal RNA (bases 1-120)
Source: RNAcentral
GAUGAAGAACGCAGCGAAACGCGAUAAGUAAUGUGAAUUGCAGAAUUCAGUGAAUCAUCGAAUCUUUGAACGCACAUUGCGCCCCUUGGUAUUCCGAGGGGCAUGCCCGUUCGAGCGUCAUUAUACCCCUCAAGCCUAGCUUGGUGUUGGGGCCUGCUGUUACCGGCAGCCCUUAAAAUCAGUGGCGGUGCCAUCUGGCUCUAAGCGUAGUAAUACUUCUCGCUACAGGGUCCCGGUGGAUGCUUGCCAUCAACCCCUAAUUUUCUAUGGUUGACCUCGGAUCGGGUAGGGAUACCCGCUGAACUUAAGCAUAUCAAUAAGCGGAGGA